Molecule: transfer RNA, 73 nt
Filed under: Ailuropoda melanoleuca (giant panda)
Lineage: Eukaryota; Metazoa; Chordata; Mammalia; Carnivora; Ursidae
Rfam family: tRNA
About the family: Transfer RNA (tRNA) molecules are approximately 80 nucleotides in length.
Source: Rfam by way of RNAcentral
ACCUGGCUGGCUCAGUUGGUAGAGCACGUGACUCUCGAUCUCAAGGUCUUGAGUUCAAGCCCCACGUUGGGCA